RNAcentral lists this ribosomal RNA (432 nucleotides) under uncultured bacterium. Its description in RNAcentral is "partial 16S ribosomal RNA". It matches the Rfam family "Bacterial small subunit ribosomal RNA", at positions 29 to 506 of the family's 1533-position model. The record is from RNAcentral.
AACGAACGCUGGCGGCAUGCCUAACACAUGCAAGUCGAACGAAGGCUUCGGCCUUUGUGGCGCACGGGUGCGUAACGCGUGGGAAUCUGCCCUUUGGUUCGGAAUAACAGCUGGAAACGGCUGCUAAUACCGGAUGAUGACUAAAGUCCAAAGAUUUAUCGCCAGAGGAUGAGCCCGCGUUGGAUUAGGUAGUUGGUGGGGUAAAGGCUUACCAAGCCGACGAUCCAUAGCUGGUCUGAGAGGAUGAUCAGCCACACUGGGACUGAGACACGGCCCAGACUCCUACGGGAGGCAGCAGUGGGGAAUAAUGGACAAUGGGCGCAAGCCUGAGCCAGCAAUGCCGCGUGAGUGAUGAAGGCCCUAGGGUUGUAAAGCUCUUUUACCCGGGAAGAUAAUGACGGUACCGGGAGAAUAAGCCCCGGCUAACUCCGG